GAGCACUUCAAACCAGAUUGAUGGCAGGAUGGAAUACAGCUUCCAGGACGGAGAUGUCAUACAACCAGUCAGCUUCCUCAAUGAGCUACGUCUACCAACCACUACAACAGUGUUUCCAGAAACAACAUUUGGUUUCUCUGUAACUCCUUCAAACCUCAUGUAAGUGUUGGAUUUCUAUUUUGAGAACAAUGAAAAUUGGAGAAGGAAUUUUAUUGCAAAAAUCGGAUGUACAUUAAACAAAAGUGGUUAUAUUUACAGAUCUGGUUCAGGAGUGGUCACAAGCAAGCUGGUGUUCAACUCCUCAUCUCCAAUCCCCAGUGAAUCUCUGGUCCUCAGUGCUAUCAAAACUCUCCGUAAUUCCAGAGAGUCACAGCUCAAUGAAUCGGUGAAGGUGGUGAAUGUCACUUAUGAGAAAAUUUCAGAAUCCUCCUAUGCAGUCAUUUUUAAGUUUAAUAUGAGUGACAUCAGCAUGCCAAGGGACUCUGGACUCAGAAAUAACAUCUACCUGCAAGUAGAGAAUACCAUUAAUAAAGCGCUGAACACUCUUCUGAAUGAACCUAGCAGUCCAAAUUUACAACCCAAACCAUCCAUCUUCAAGAGUACAUUAAAUCAGAUUGAGGGCAGUAUGGUGUACAACUUCCAAGAUAUAGAUGUCAUAAAACCAGUCAACUUCCUACAGACACUUAAUUCACUGACAGUCUUAACGACAGCCAGCACUCUGACAACAAGCAUAACUUCUCCACUAACAUUGUUGGGGACGAUUUAUAUAAAUAUUCGAUUGGUGUUUAACACAUUGGGCCAAAUACCAAGUGAAACUAUCAUUCUACAGUUGGUCAAAUCUUUGAUUGGCCCACGUUACAGAACUAAAGAAGUCUCAACACCAACCCAGGAUGCAAGCCUUGUGAAUGUCACCUAUACAAAAAUUAAUGAUACCUCCUAUGCUCUCACAUUUGGAUUUGAAAUCAGCAAUAUAUCCAUGUCUGAGAAAAUUGAACUAAGGAAUGAAACUUACACUUUAAUCAAAAGCACUAUAAAUGGAUUGCUUAUCGAAAUCCUAAAGGACCCCUCAGCUUCUCAGUUUGAUCUCCAGCACAUUGAAUUGAACGAUAAUAGCACAGUGAUUCUGGCCAGUGUUCAGUAUGUUUUCUCAGAAAGUGACUUGAACACAAACAGCACCUUUGUCAAGGAAUUAUUCAAAGCUAAUGAAGUCUUAACGACAGCCAGCACUCUGACAACUACUCCACCGAUAGUGCUUGGCAGAGCGCUUAUAUUCAUUCGCCUCGUGUUUGUCACACUGGGCCCCCUGCCAAAUCCAGAGAAGGUUCUUGAGGUGGCCAACACUCUGCUGAACACGCGUCUCACAACUAAACAAGACACCAAAACACAAGCCCUGAGUGAUCCUGUGAGCUUUGUCAAUGUCACAUAUACAAAAAUAAAUGAGACGGCCUAUGCUCUCGACUUUGGAUUUGAAAUCAGCAAUAUAACCAUGUCUGAGAAGCUUGAACUCAGGGAUGGCACCCACCUGACAAUACAAGACUCUAUAAACACAUUGCUGGGCAAGAUGCUCCUCAGUAACUCCUCAGCUCCUCUCAUUAAGUUCCAACCAGCUGAUUUCACGGGUAAUUCCACAGUAAUUAAGGCCAAUGUAGAGUAUGUUUUCUCACCAAGUGACAUCACGAAACCCAGCAUCUUUGUUCAGGAACUUCUCCAACUUGACGGAGCGAGCAUUCUGACAACCACAACUUCACCACCGAUCUUGACUAGGAGGGGAAUUAUUAAGAUUCGUCUCGAGUUUAUCACACUGGGCCCAAGACCAAGUGAGAGUAAUGUUCUACAGGUGGUUAAAUCUAUGCUGGCCUCAAAUCUCACAACUAAACUAACCACGAGAGUAACAAGCAUGAGUGAACCUCUGUCCUUGGAGAAUGUUGAGUAUUUGGGUAUUAAUGACACCGCCUACGCACUCAUUUUUGCAUUUGAAAUAAACAAAGUAUCACUGACAGAGAUAAAUAGGAAAGAAGCCUAUCAAGAAAUCCAAAAGAAGAUAAAUGAUUUGGUGAUCCAGAUACUAAAGGACCCCUCGGUUAAUCUGCUCAUUCCAGCCGAUUUCAAGGAUGAUCUCUUUGUGAUUCAGGCCAAUGUUACGUAUGUUUUCUCACAACGUGACAGCAACACGGCCUCCGGUUUCUUGGUCAGUGCCCUUUUCACGGCUUUUACCACACCAGUUCCAACCACCAUGAACGCUACAACCUCCAACAAUGGUACAAACGUAGCAUGGAUUGUGGCUAUCAUUGUCCCCUGCGCUAUUGUCAUCGGGCUCGUACCUUGCUGGAUUCUCCUUUGCUGUUUGCUGUGUGGUUGCUGUGCAGCAAUCAGAAGACGUUGGCACAGAAGACAGUCGUACAAUGUGCAGUACACCACUCGAAACAGCCUCUUCUAGACAAUUCAGAGAUAUUUGACAAAAACAGGACUGAACACCAAUGACAACAUAAAAAUCAUGUAUUUUGGAUAUUCAAUAUGCUAUUCAAGACUGCUUCUUUUGUAGUAAUGAAAGUACUAUGUUAAUGCUUCUUUUAUAAAUUAUUUAUUUUAUUAUGCUAUAUAUAAACAGGUCCUCCAUAAAAUAUUCCUAAAUGUGAAAUUUUAAUACUUCCUAUAGUGUAUAAUGAAAUUGUAUUGUUGUUAUUUAUUUGUAUUUAUUUGUAAUAUUCUGUUUAUGUUUACAGUUAAUAAUCUUUUGCAAAUCAUUAGUCUGCUUGACACUACACAGUUUAAUUUAAAGGGACAAAAGGUAGAACAUUGGAAUUAGAGCUAUUAUUCAUUCAUGCUCCAUGCACUUUAACUUUAUAAAUGUAAAGCAAAUGUAAAGCAAGCACAUGAUGUAAAGGAAAUGCAAAAAAGCUAAUUUAUGUAAUUAAUUGGUAUGAACAUGUUAAACUGCAAAAAAAAAAAAAACUAAUAAAAAUACUAGAUCAAUAAAGAAUACAGAAAAAUACAGAGGUUUGUGUUUCUCGUUUCUCGCUUUUAAUGUUAGAUGUGCAACAACAUUGCAGUCAGUAGGCUGCUGUGGUUAGAGUAAAAUAAAUUGAAGUAAAAUUAAAUAAAAAAAAACUAGUUUUGCAAUAAUAAAUACAUAGUGGUAAUCAUUCAGGAAAAACAUGAAAAUAAAACUAAAAAAGCCCAGCAAUCAUAAAUGCAAUGAAUUGCAUUUAAAAUCUAUGCAUUUUAUGAUUUAUUUAUGUAAGGCAAGACACACCAGGGCUGUGUUCAGCAACUUCAGCCCCGACAAAAACGGUGCAAAACGUUUUUUUUUAAACGGAAACGGUGGUGCGUUGAGCACACUGUUCUGAUGACGCA
Molecule: long non-coding RNA, 3354 nt
Organism: Sinocyclocheilus anshuiensis
Lineage: Eukaryota; Metazoa; Chordata; Actinopteri; Cypriniformes; Cyprinidae
Product: mucin-17-like
Source: Ensembl